Molecule: long non-coding RNA, 1918 nt
Organism: Taeniopygia guttata (zebra finch)
Lineage: Eukaryota; Metazoa; Chordata; Aves; Passeriformes; Estrildidae
Source: RefSeq, a predicted model, not a curated record
GCUGCGUGCGCUGCCGCGCUCCGCUGGGUCCCGCUGUGCCCCGCCCAGCACCGAGCAGGGACCCAACUGAAACGCAGCGAAGCUCUGCUCCGAGCUCGGCGGGACCCCCUUCCAUGCCUCCCUGCUUCGGGCAGUUUUUUGGGACGCCCGUGCAUCUGCCAGGACCUGCUCACCUAAGGCGUUCUUCCCGUCUGUCACGUGAUGGUGUGGGACUGUGUGGAAUGUCAGGGAACGGCGGGGGUGGUGUGGCUGGGAAAGAGCUCUCUUCUCUGAAGGAUAACCCCGUGUUGCCAACCUAUUUCAACACAAAUCCAGACGUUUGAGCAAGCUAAUGUAGAAAACUCUUUUGUCUUAAUUUACACUUCAUAGCGAAUAUUUCACUAGGAGAAAGAACGUUCACGUUCCACCACUUCGACCCCUGUAAAAGUAUGAAAAUCAGAAGGCAAGAAAAUUUUCAUUUCUCUCAGCCAGUCAUCUGUGUUCAGCUGUCUAUUCAGCUAUCUUGAAAAAAGAAAAAAUACCAAACAAAUAAAAACAAUCCAAAGAGCAGAAGACAGCCCCACCAGGUGCACAAAUUGUGAGCAAAGACCCGUAUUUAUUACUGUGAUCUCUGACUCUUACAUCCCUUGUAGACUAUAUGUUUGCUUGUUAAAUUUCUAUUAUUUAUUGUGGUUUGUAAACUUUAGAGACUCUGUAAUUCUUAUAGAUUACAGGCAGUUUUAAUCUCUUUGUUUUCAUCUACCUGCUAAUGCCAUGGUCGGUACUCUUGGAUGAGUCCAUUUCAUAGACACACAGCCCGAAACAGGCUGAACUGCAUCCUCCAAAGUACUUUGAUUUUGGCCCAAUUCCUCGUCAAGCUGACACAAAACAAGCAUUCCCUUUUCCCCUAGGCACAUCUAGUAGCAAAUGAAGACAAUUUUUUUUCUAUUCUUUACUUGUUUUUUUGGGUUUUUUUUUAAGAACUCUUGGCUUUCCUGCCUUGCUCUGAUUCCAUAGCCGUGUACUGAAAAGAUCUUGUCAGUGAUUCUGGAAAAGGUUUUGCCACCUGGUUAGCAGGGAAAGAAAGAAGAGAAACUUCCAGCUUCAGGAGACAGGAAAUGAAGACAUGAGGUUUGGUGUCCUUGUCCAGCUUUCCAUUAUGAAUUUAUGACCGUUGUCUAUAUUUUCCUUUAUAAUCUGACUGCCUGAAGAACCAGUUAGUAAAUUGUGUGUUCCUGAUAUAUUACUAUUCCAUUUGCCAACAGAAGUAAAAAGAGUGCCAAAGAAUCCACAAUUGUGUAGAUAUAAAUUAUUCUGCAGGGAUCUGUCUUUUUCUAAGGGUGUGAAGUCUCCAGGAAGAGGAGAUCCAAUUAUUACAGUCGGACUUACCGAAAGCAUUCUAGAAAUAGAAUAUGCUAUGCGAAAUACCUAUGUUUUUCUCCUGUAGAACUUCAUGAGUAUUUGCUUUACUUUCUGUGACUAUACUUUUGGAAAGAUUACAAUAUACACUGCUCUUUCAUGUACAGGAAUUUCUGUGUGACCUCAUGAAAAAAAAAAGCAGACAGCUGAUCUCUAGAGAAAAUAAUUAAAUGGUUACUUUUUCCUUUAAAUAGGAUCUGUCUGGAAGCUGAAGGAGAAUGUAUCCCAUCUGAUCCACAACUCAGGGAUGUAAAGUUGUGAAGUGUGGUGGUAUGUUCCACAAAUUCAUGGAAUUACUUAGGCCACACUGUACUGCAAUUAUGCUGUGUUCUGAUGUUUUCAAGUGAAAGUAAAUAUAAGGAAAAGCAGAACAAAAAUUCACUCAACUGAAUUGUGUGUUAUAACACUCACUGUUUCACACUCUGGAAAGAAAUCAUACAUUUUGACUGUGUUGAAUGUUUCAUUCCAUGAGAGCUCUUGUUGACAUACGGUAAGAUAUGAAACACGUUAAUUGAACAAA